ACAUAUGGCUAUACCACCCCAAACAUGCCUGAUUUUGUCUGAUCUCAGAAGCUAAGCAGGAUCAGGCCUGAUUAAUACUUGAAUGGGAGACCUUUGGAAAUACCCAGUGCUGUAGACC
This 118-nucleotide ribosomal RNA is filed under the name Sorex araneus (European shrew). Lineage: Eukaryota; Metazoa; Chordata; Mammalia; Eulipotyphla; Soricidae. The record is from RNAcentral.